CAUCAGUCCCUCCGAUCAGACGGCUUGGGACGCGGGGCCGUGCCCUGCGUCAAAACGAGUAGGAGCCGCGCAACGACCGUUUCCGGGUGCGCGGCGGUGAUCGUGACGAACGCGCCCGAUGGGCCGUUCAUCACGGAGAAUCCAUGUUUGUUCUGAGAGCGCUUCACGCAGCCCUCGCGAUCGGCGCGCGCUCGUCGCACGCCCAGUGCGAGCGCGCGCACCCGAGCGUCGGCGCGAAGAGGUCGCGCAGCGGCGUCGGGUACGGCAGCGCGCGCACGCCGCGCACCGCGCGCUUGCCCACACGCGUGAGCGGAAACAGAAACUUGUGAUUCCCGCCGUGGCGCAUCGGGCGCGUCACGCGCGCGAGCUCGCGGCGCAGCCAUUCCCGCGUGUCUUCGUUGUAGGUCGGUGCGACGGCGCCGUGCUCAACGAGCGUGUCCACCGCGGCGCGCCAGCCGCCCCGCUUGACCGCGCAGGGCGUACGGCACGAUCCUCGGCACGCCGGCCUUGUCGCAGAUCUUCUUCACCGCGCGCUGCAGCCACGCUUCCAGCUUGCGCACCGCCGGCGGCGGGAAGAGGGGCUCCUGCGGCGCGCGGCCUUCGACCAGGCGCAGCAGGUACGGGGUCAGCGACCUACGUUAUGUUGCGAGCUUAACCGAAUAGGGGAGGCGUAGCGAAAGCGAGUCUGAUAAGGGCGUUUAGUAGCACGGCGUAGACCCGAAACCGGAUGAUCUAUCCAUGGCCAGGAUGAAGGUGCCGUAACAGGUACUGGAGGUCCGAACCCACUAAUGUUGAAAAAUUAGGGGAUGAGCUGUGGAUAGGGGUGAAAGGCUAAACAAAUCCGGAAAUAGCUGGUUCUCCCCGAAAACUAUUUAGGUAGUGCGUCUUGUAUCACUGACGGGGGUAAAGCACUGUUAUGGCUAGGGGGUCAUCGCGACUUACCAAACCAUGGCAAACUCUGAAUACCGUCAAGUGCGAGCAAGGCAGACAGACAGUGGGUGCUAACGUCCAUUGUCAAGAGGGAAACAACCCAGACCGCCAGCUAAGGUCCCCAAGACACAGUUAAGUGGGAAACGAGGUGGGAAGGCAUAGACAGCUAGGAGGUUGGCUUAGAAGCAGCCAUCCUUUAAAGAAAGCGUAAUAGCUCACUAGUCGAGUCGUCCUGCGCGGAAGAUGUAACGGGGCUCAAACUGUGCACCGAAGCUGCGGAUAUCGAAAGAUAUGGUAGGGGAGCGUUCUGUAGGUCUGUGAAGGUGUCUUGAGAAGGAUGCUGGAGAUAUCAGAAGUGCGAAUGCUGACAUGAGUAGCGAUAAAGGGAGUGAAAAGCUCCCUCGCCGAAAGCCCAAGGUUUCCUACGCAACGUUCAUCGGCGUAGGGUGAGUCGGCCCCUAAGGCGAGGCAGAAAUGCGUAGUCGAUGGGAAACAGGUCAAUAUUCCUGUACCGAUUCUAGAUGCGAUGUGGGGACGGAGAAGGUUAGGUCAGCCAACUGUUGGAAUAGUUGGUUUAAGCGUGUAGGCGUGCCCCUUAGGCAAAUCCGGGGGGCUUAGCUGAGGCGUGAUGACGAGGCACUACGGUGCUGAAGUGAUUGAUACCAAGCUUCCAGGAAAAGCCACUAAGCUUCAGUCUAGAAUUGACCGUACCGCAAACCGACACAGGUGGGCAGGAUGAAAAUUCUAAGGCGCUUGAGAGAACUCAGGAGAAGGAACUCGGCAAAUUAACACCGUAACUUCGGGAGAAGGUGUGCCCCGGUAGGUUGUAGAGCCUCGCGCUCGAAGGCCGAUGGGGUUGCAGUGAAAUGGUGGCUGCGACUGUUUAAUAAAAACACAGCACUCUGCAAACACGAAAGUGGACGUAUAGGGUGUGACGCCUGCCCGGUGCCGGAAGGUUAAUUGAUGGGGUGCAAGCUCUUGAUCGAAGCCCCGGUAAACGGCGGCCGUAACUAUAACGGUCCUAAGGUAGCGAAAUUCCUUGUCGGGUAAGUUCCGACCUGCACGAAUGGCGUAACGAUGGCCACACUGUCUCCUCCUGAGACUCAGCGAAGUUGAAAUGUUUGUGAAGAUGCAAUC
RNAcentral lists this ribosomal RNA (2067 nucleotides) under wastewater metagenome. RNAcentral describes it as "bacterial LSU rRNA". The stretch from base 513 to 2067 matches the Rfam family "Bacterial large subunit ribosomal RNA", at positions 1 to 2066 of the family's 2925-position model. The record is from RNAcentral.